AGUGAACGCUGGCGGUAGGCCUAACACAUGCAAGUCGAACGGCAGCACAGUAAGAGCUUGCUCUUACGGGUGGCGAGUGGCGGACGGGUGAGGAAUACAUCGGAAUCUACUUUUUCGUGGGGGAUAACGUAGGGAAACUUACGCUAAUACCGCAUACGACCUACGGGUGAAAGCAGGGGAUCUUCGGACCUUGCGCGAUUGAAUGAGCCGAUGUCGGAUUAGCUAGUUGGCGGGGUAAAGGCCCACCAAGGCGACGAUCCGUAGCUGGUCUGAGAGGAUGAUCAGCCACACUGGAACUGAGACACGGUCCAGACUCCUACGGGAGACAGCAGUGGGGAAUAUUGGACAAUGGGCGCAAGCCCGAUCCAGCCAUACCGCGUGGGUGAAGAAGGCCUUCGGGUUGUAAAGCCCUUUUGUUGGGAAAGAAAAGCAGCAGGUUAAUACCCCGCUGUUCUGACGGUACCCAAAGAAUAAGCACCGGCUAACUUCGUG
This 492-nucleotide ribosomal RNA is filed under the name uncultured bacterium. Its description in RNAcentral is "partial 16S ribosomal RNA". It matches the Rfam family "Bacterial small subunit ribosomal RNA", at positions 29 to 507 of the family's 1533-position model. The record is from RNAcentral.